AACAAACAGUUUGCUUUCCUCCAAGAGGAAAACUAAAAUUUACAACAGCUUCUGGAUUCUAGUCUCUCUCUUUUGCUUGACAUGAAGCCCCCAAGUCAUUUGGAGUUUGCAUGUGCAGUUUGCUAUGAUGGAUUCGCCUAAACCCCCAUAGGCCUUUUGCAAGAUGUUUUUGUUUGAAAAGGUAUAUCUACAACAUAAGAGAAAAUAUUAGAAAUUCUUUUGCAUCCAUUUUUUUUUUUAAGAACAACUGAGCAAAGCAAAAUUGAAGAGAAUGCUCUUAUCUUUAAAUUUUGUUGUAGUGCAGUUGCAUGAAUAGAACUUGUGAUUUUUCAAGAGCCACUAAAAAACUAAUGGCAUAGUCCCCAG
RNAcentral lists this long non-coding RNA (366 nucleotides) under Prunus persica (peach). RNAcentral's name for it is "long non-coding RNA (PPER_LNC000959)". Lineage: Eukaryota; Viridiplantae; Streptophyta; Magnoliopsida; Rosales; Rosaceae. The record is from RNAcentral.